This 1372-nucleotide long non-coding RNA is filed under the name Marmota monax (woodchuck). Lineage: Eukaryota; Metazoa; Chordata; Mammalia; Rodentia; Sciuridae. The record is from RNAcentral.
UUUUGUCCAUGUGUUGAUGAGGUAGGGAAUUUGGGGUGUUGCCUGCAUUCCCAUGAGGUGAGCCCCUGGCUUCUGAGGGAUGAGGGGAAUUGGGUCUGGCAGGAGAAAGGGAAAGACACUAAGGGUGAGCUUGACCUUUGUACUUUGAUUAAAAGCCUGUUUUCAUCUCAGGGAAUGGCUGACUUGGGAUUUAGAAUGGAAGGUAGAUCCAUGACACAACUCUUUUGAAAAUAGAAUAAAUACCCUGGACUCUGUUUAACCUUAAAAGAAAUAUAGAGCAGGCCAAAUAUGAUUUGUAAAUUAAGGGUAAUGUAAUUGGUUGAUCUGUCAAAUGAAAGGACUUAUCUAGGGAGGGGCAGCUGCUUUCUCAUUCACCCUGAUCCAGCCUUUAUUCCGACAUCCAAAUUGAUCAAACAAUGGGAAAAACCAUAUUGCCAAGAUAAACACAGAAGUCUGUCAGUUAAAUGUAAGCAAUGAUCCAGUUUCCAGCCAUGAGCACCAAUGAAGGUGUGGUCACUACCUUCUUGAGCUUUGUGUUAUUUUGUAGAAAACAUCCCCAAACCCACCCAGAAGUUUGGUGAUUUUUCUUCAGUGGUUUUGCUCCUUGGCAUCCAUUCCGCAAGGAAUCGCUGUUCACUUUAAUCAUUGUCCCCAAGGGUCCUUUGAUAAAUUGAGACUGAGACCCAUAACACUCAUAGAGAAACUCAUCCUGUCUGCUGCCCUGGGUCUUUUAACACCUGGCUGCAUGGAGCCAUGAGUUCUCCAAUGUGUCCCUAGCUAUCCUUGCUCCUUCUGCAGACCCAUAGGGUUGUUGAAGUUUGCUGAUCCCCUCACCGUGCACUAUUUUACUUAAUUUCUAUCACUGAAGUGCCUGCGUUCCCAGGCUUUGUGAUUACUUUUCCAGCUCUGUUAACACUUUGUGUGCUGGGCAGAGAAUGAGCUCUCCACUUGCCGUGAGCACUUGUGUAGUUUGCACUCGUUUCUCAGAAGCCGCCUCCUCUGUCCCCUCUUUAUUAGCCCCAGUCCAUGCCCCUUUCCCUUCUGGACAGUAUCACCUUCAGCUCACCCUGUUGUAUCCCCAAGAUCUUUUCUAUCCUGGGUGCUUCAGCAAGAGCAGGGUGUUGUGCAGCAUUCCUGGGGGUCCUUGGGGAGAGGGGAGACUGGUGUACUGACUGCUGCAUGCCUCGCUCAUAAUACCUCCUUCUCUCCUUGUGUCUCUGGCUGUGAUCACUGCAGUGCGAAGGACCCUGAAGAGUGGCCUGACUCCAGAAGAAGCCAGAGCCCUGGGCCUGGUUGGCACCUCCGAGCUUCAGCUGUGACGUUCUUGGGGCACCCUCUGAGCAGAGAGAGUACCAGCUCCUGCACGAACUUU